UAUAGAGAUUUGUAUAGUUG
Molecule: small nuclear RNA, 20 nt
Filed under: Arabidopsis thaliana (thale cress)
Lineage: Eukaryota; Viridiplantae; Streptophyta; Magnoliopsida; Brassicales; Brassicaceae
Description: snRNA_04888
Source: RNAcentral